UACGGAGGGUGCGAGCGUUGUCCGGAAUCAUUGGGCGUAAAGGGCGCGUAGGCGGCCACGCACGUCCGUUGUGAAAUCGCCCGGCUCAACUGGGCGGGGUCAGCGGAUACGGUGUGGCUAGAGCAAGCUAGGGGGCAAUGGAAUUCCCGGUGUAGUGGUGGAAUGCGUAGAUAUCGGGAGGAACACCAGUGGCGAAGGCGGUUGCCUGGAGCUUUGCUGACGCUGAUGCGCGAAAGCGUGGGGAGCGAUCCGG
RNAcentral lists this ribosomal RNA (253 nucleotides) under uncultured bacterium. RNAcentral describes it as "partial 16S ribosomal RNA". It matches the Rfam family "Bacterial small subunit ribosomal RNA", at positions 524 to 776 of the family's 1533-position model. The record is from RNAcentral.